Molecule: ribosomal RNA, 484 nt
Filed under: uncultured bacterium
Lineage: Bacteria
Description: partial 16S ribosomal RNA
Rfam family: Bacterial small subunit ribosomal RNA
Source: RNAcentral
AUUGAACGCUGGCGGCAGGCCUAGCACAUGCAAGUCGAGCGGAUGAAGGGAGCUUGCUCCUGGAUUCAGCGGCGGACGGGUGAGUAAUGCCUAGGAAUCUGCCUGGUAGUGGGGGAUAACGUCCGGAAACGGGCGCUAAUACCGCAUACGUCCUGAGGGAGAAAGUGGGGGAUCUUCGGACCUCACGCUAUCAGAUGAGCCUAGGUCGGAUUAGCUAGUUGGUGGGGUAAAGGCCUACCAAGGCGACGAUCCGUAACUGGUCUGAGAGGAUGAUCAGUCACACUGGAACUGAGACACGGUCCAGACUCCUACGGGAGGCAGCAGUGGGGAAUAUUGGACAAUGGGCGAAAGCCUGAUCCAGCCAUGCCGCGUGUGUGAAGAAGGUCUUCGGAUUGUAAAGCACUUUAAGUUGGGAGGAAGGGCAGUAAGUUAAUACCUUGCUGCUUUGACGUUACCAACAGAAUAAGCACCGGCUAACUUCGUG